CCCCCUGAAACUUUGACAUUG
This 21-nucleotide small nuclear RNA is filed under the name Arabidopsis thaliana (thale cress). Its description in RNAcentral is "snRNA_06044". Lineage: Eukaryota; Viridiplantae; Streptophyta; Magnoliopsida; Brassicales; Brassicaceae. The record is from RNAcentral.